This 301-nucleotide ribosomal RNA is filed under the name uncultured bacterium. Its description in RNAcentral is "partial 16S ribosomal RNA". It matches the Rfam family "Bacterial small subunit ribosomal RNA", at positions 509 to 807 of the family's 1533-position model. The record is from RNAcentral.
CAGUCGCCGCGGUAAAACGUAGGUGGCAAGCGUUGUCCGGAAUUAUUGGGCGUAAAGGGCUCGCAGGCGGUUUCUUAAGUCUGAUGUGAAAGCCCCCGGCUCAACCGGGGAGGGUCAUUGGAAACUGGGAAACUUGAGUGCAGAAGAGGAGAGUGGAAUUCCACGUGUAGCGGUGAAAUGCGUAGAGAUGUGGAGGAACACCAGUGGCGAAGGCGACUCUCUGGUCUGUAACUGACGCUGAGGAGCGAAAGCGUGGGGAGCGAACAGGAUUAGAGACCCCUGUAGUCCCUGUCUCUUAUAC